RNAcentral lists this ribosomal RNA (230 nucleotides) under uncultured bacterium. Its description in RNAcentral is "partial 16S ribosomal RNA". It matches the Rfam family "Bacterial small subunit ribosomal RNA", at positions 279 to 524 of the family's 1533-position model. The record is from RNAcentral.
AUCAGUAGCCGGACUGAGAGGUUGACCGGCCACAUUGGGACUGAGAUACGGCCCAGACUCCUACGGGAGGCAGCAGUGGGGAAUAUUGGGCAAUGGGCGCAAGCCUGACCCAGCAACGCCGCGUGAAGGAAGAAGGCUUUCGAGUUGUAAACUUCUUUUGUCAGGGACGAGUAGAAGACGGUACCUGACGAAUAAGCUACGGCUAACUACGUGCCAGCAGCCGCGGUAAU